Molecule: long non-coding RNA, 1641 nt
Filed under: Oryctolagus cuniculus (rabbit)
Lineage: Eukaryota; Metazoa; Chordata; Mammalia; Lagomorpha; Leporidae
Description: lncRNA (ENSOCUG00000029938.1)
Source: RNAcentral
GAAGACAAUCAUGCAGAGUACACCUGGAUACAGUAAGCAGCAAUAUUUUUACAUGAGGAAAACAUCAAGCAAACAAGCAUAGCUUUUUCAGCCCUUGAAAAAGAAAACAAGCAGCAGUCCACUGAACUGAUACAGCUGCGUCCUCUCCAAGCAGCUAGAGGACCCACCUUUGAAUGCACACACUCACUACCUAGUGAUCAAGGAACCCUUUUAGAUGGUAACUGCUGAUCUCCACAGCAAGAAGGAGAAGGCAGACCUUACCCAUCAGACCAUCCAUAUGUCUUCACAGUAGCAGAGAGCAAUUCCAUGUCAUUACCACUCCAGUUGAGAGGAAAAUCACUCCCUGGAAGUAGAAACUGCUGUGGGCAGAACUUAAAACAGGCUCACUGGCCUCGAAUGAAGGUGACCAGCACACUAUGGCAUCCUAACUUCAUGACGACAAUCUUCACAACCUCAGAGAAUCAAGCCUGGGCUGGUCUACAGAUAGAUACAGCAGAUCCUCUGCCACUGCUCCCAAAUCAUUGGUAAAAAUGUGGUGCCAGUUGCGAAGACAAUAUCCAGCGAUGAGGAGCCUAGUAAUCCUGGAAACACCUCCUCCACCUCCUCCUGGGGAGGUCUCUUCCUGUCAACCCCCCUCUGGAGGCCAGGGGAUGUUGAAAACACCACUCUAUUGCCUUGUGGAGGAGAGAACAGUGUAGGUAGAGAGACAUUUUAAGAUUCUGGGAAGCAAAGAGUCCAUGUAGAGCAGAUGACUGAUAACAACUUGGAAGAUGUUUAAGAAGGGGUUUGCCCAGUUGAAAAGGAACUUGGGAUAUCCACGUUUCCCUUUCCAUGAGUCCUCUGCCUUCUCAAGGUUGUUUCUUUACUUUCUUGGACACUUCAACACCUGGCUCAUAAUCUCAUGCCCUUCCAUCUACUUAACGUUUAUCACUUCCCUUUCUCCCCUCACCCAAAUAUAGCAUCUAGGAAUAUGUGCUUGAUGCAGAAAGUAAAACAAUACAGAAUCUAUAUGGUGCAAAUUAUAAUAUCCUUUCUCUCUUUCACUGACCCCCACUUGUUCCCCCAGUGUUCUUUAACAACCAUUUGAUAUAUAUUUCUGCAUCAUUUUCUAAAAAUGAGCACCAAUCUUUUCCCCCACUCUCCCUAAUAUUGUCAUUACCUGCACAUUAUCUGAUGGGAGGACACACUUGUUAUUGGAGGAAGGAAAUCAGGUACUUCCUAGAUGAACCCAAAAGCAUCAAAAAGCUACUCCUUGGUUCCUCUGAGCUAUACACAUGAAGGUGAACAAAUGCUUCUUCUACAGUCAUAAUGGGAAGGAUGGAACAUGUCAUAAAUCAUCUGAGACAACCAAAUCUAUGUGUAUGCAGGUGGCUCCGAAACCAUACUGCCAUUUGAGACUAAACAGCGUAGGGGUGCAAAAGCUAAAAUAUUUUGGAAAAUCUACUUUGCAUAUUUAGUUAUCUGCAUGUCAUUUAUAUUUAUUCAGUGUUGUGCACUCCCAAAGAUUUUGUUUUGUUUGCCAUUCUUUGCCUGUACACAGAUAUAUGGUAGAACAGGAAUUAGAAUAGUUGAGCUGUCAACUAUUUAUGUUGUAGCUUUCACCCUUCCCAAAUUAAUAAAGCUUAAAAAUGCAUUAUGACA